This 307-nucleotide unclassified non-coding RNA is filed under the name plant metagenome. Its description in RNAcentral is "partial contains 5.8S ribosomal RNA, internal transcribed spacer 2, and large subunit ribosomal RNA". The stretch from base 1 to 105 matches the Rfam family "5.8S ribosomal RNA", at positions 50 to 154 of the family's 154-position model. The record is from RNAcentral.
GAAAUGCGAUAAGUAGUGUGAAUUGCAGAAUUUAGCGAAUCAUCGAAUCUUUGAACGCACAUUGCGCCCCUUGGUAUUCCAUGGGGCAUGCCUGUUCGAGCGUCAUUUCAACCCUCAAGCACUGCUUGGUGUUGGGCGUUUGUCCCGCCUACGCGCGUGGACUCGCCUCAAAGUCAUUGGCGGCUGUUCGCCUUCGGCUCGUAAGCGCAGCACAGUCGGCGCCCGGAGCUCUGGUGGGAUGGCGUCCAGCAAGCUAUAUUUUCAGGCUUGACCUCGGAUCAGGUAGGGAUACCCGCUGAACUUAAGC